RNAcentral lists this ribosomal RNA (529 nucleotides) under Agaricus wariatodes. RNAcentral's name for it is "eukaryotic LSU rRNA". It matches the Rfam family "Eukaryotic large subunit ribosomal RNA", at positions 127 to 640 of the family's 3401-position model. Lineage: Eukaryota; Fungi; Basidiomycota; Agaricomycetes; Agaricales; Agaricaceae. The record is from RNAcentral.
GUCUCUGGCUGUCCGAGUUGUAAUCUAGAGAAGUAAUGCCCGUGCUGGACCGUGUAUAAGUCUCCUGGGAUGGGGCGUCAUAGAGGGUGAGAAUCCCGUCUUUGACACGGACUACCAGUGCAUUGUGGUAUGCUCUCAAAGAGUCGAGUUGUUUGGGAAUGCAGCUCAAAAUGGGUGGUAAAUUCCAUCUAAAGCUAAAUAUUGGCGAGAGACCGAUAGCGAACAAGUACCGUGAGGGAAAGAUGAAAAGAACUUUGGAAAGAGAGUUAAACAGUACGUGAAAUUGCUGAAAGGGAAACGCUUGAAGUCAGUCGCGUUGGCCGGGAAUCAGCCUUGCUUUUGCAUGGUGUACUUUCUGGUUUGACGGGUCAGCAUCAAUUUUGACCACUGGAAAAAGACCUGGGGAAUGUGGCAGCUUCGGCUGUGUUAUAGCCCCUAGUCACAUACAGUGGUUGGGAUUGAGGAACUCAGCACGCCGCAAGGCCGGGUUUCGACCACGUUCGUGCUUAGGAUGCUGGCAUAAUGGCUU